This 497-nucleotide ribosomal RNA is filed under the name uncultured bacterium. RNAcentral describes it as "partial 16S ribosomal RNA". It matches the Rfam family "Bacterial small subunit ribosomal RNA", at positions 28 to 507 of the family's 1533-position model. The record is from RNAcentral.
GAUGAACGCUGGCGGCGUGCCUAAUACAUGCAAGUCGAGCGAACGGACGAGAAGCUUGCUUCUCUGAUGUUAGCGGCGGACGGGUGAGUAACACGUGGAUAACCUACCUAUAAGACUGGGGUAACUUCGGGAAACCGGAGCUAAUACCGGAUGAUAUUUUGAACCGCAUGGUUCAAAAGUGAAAGACGGUCUUGCUGUCACUUAUAGAUGGAUCCGCGCUGCAUUAGCUAGUUGGUAAGGUAACGGCUUACCAAGGCAACGAUGCAUAGCCGACCUGAGAGGGUGAUCGGCCACACUGGAACUGAGACACGGUCCAGACUCCUACGGGAGGCAGCAGUAGGGAAUCUUCCGCAAUGGGCGAAAGCCUGACGGAGCAACGCCGCGUGAGUAAUGAAGGUCUUCGGAUCGUAAAACUCUGUUAUUAGGGAAGAACAUAUGUGUAAGUAACUGUGCACAUCUUGACGGUACCUAAUCAGAGAGCCACGGCUAACUACGUG